This 528-nucleotide ribosomal RNA is filed under the name uncultured bacterium. RNAcentral's name for it is "bacterial SSU rRNA". It matches the Rfam family "Bacterial small subunit ribosomal RNA", at positions 982 to 1509 of the family's 1533-position model. The record is from RNAcentral.
GUACAUCCAGAGAAUUUAGCAGAGAUGCUUUAGUGCCUUCGGGAACUCUGAGACAGGUGCUGCAUGGCUGUCGUCAGCUCGUGUUGUGAAAUGUUGGGUUAAGUCCCGCAACGAGCGCAACCCUUAUCCUUUGUUGCCAGCACGUAAUGGUGGGAACUCAAAGGAGACUGCCGGUGAUAAACCGGAGGAAGGUGGGGAUGACGUCAAGUCAUCAUGGCCCUUACGAGUAGGGCUACACACGUGCUACAAUGGCGCAUACAAAGAGAAGCGACCUCGCGAGAGCAAGCGGACCUCAUAAAGUGCGUCGUAGUCCGGAUUGGAGUCUGCAACUCGACUCCAUGAAGUCGGAAUCGCUAGUAAUCGUAAAUCAGAAUGUUACGGUGAAUACGUUCCCGGGCCUUGUACACACCGCCCGUCACACCAUGGGAGUGGGUUGCAAAAGAAGUAGAUAGCUUAACCUUCGGGAGGGCGUUUACCACUUUGUGAUUCAUGACUGGGGUGAAGUCGUAACAAGGUAAGCGUAGUGCU